AGCUCCAAUAGCGUAUAUUAAAGUUGUUGCAGUUAAAAAGCUCGUAGUCGAAUUUCAGGGCGGUGUGCACGGUCUGCCGAUGGGUAUGCACUGUGCGUGCCGCCUUUCCUGCUGGGGUCCGCGUCUGCACUUGACUGUGCGGGCGCGGGGAACAGCGCGUUUACUUUGAGAAAAUCAGAGUGUUUAAAGCAGGCCAAGAUUGCUCUUGCAUGGAUUAGCAUGGGAUAAUGAAAUAGGACUUUGGUGCUAUUUUGUUGGUUUCGAGUACCGAAGUAAUGAUUAAUAGGGAUAGUCAGGGGCACUUGUAUUCCGUUGAGAGAGGUGAAAUUCUUAGACCAAUGGAAGACAAACUACUGCGAAAGCAUUUGCCAGGGAUGUUUUCACUGAUCAAGAACGAAAG
RNAcentral lists this ribosomal RNA (400 nucleotides) under phytoplankton environmental sample. RNAcentral's name for it is "partial small subunit ribosomal RNA". It matches the Rfam family "Eukaryotic small subunit ribosomal RNA", at positions 587 to 989 of the family's 1831-position model. The record is from RNAcentral.